Non-coding RNA from Oncorhynchus mykiss (rainbow trout), 406 nucleotides. The record is from RefSeq and is a predicted model, not a curated record. Lineage: Eukaryota; Metazoa; Chordata; Actinopteri; Salmoniformes; Salmonidae.
UUGACAAUGCUAUCAGGUACAUGGGGCAUGGAAGGAGACAUGAUGAAAGGUACAUUCACCAGAAAGGACAAUGGAAAGGUGCUGACAACUACCAGAGCCAUUGUUGGAGAGGAACUUGUACAGAGCUACAGCUAUGAUGGAGUCGAAGCCAAGAGAAUUUUCAAGAGGGGUUAGAGGAAACCGAUCAAACAAUCCAACCACUAAGAUCAAGAAGAGCUACGUUCAAAACCAGAAUGAUACCAUUUUACAACCUUUCUGAAGCCACUGGACCACUUUAGGUCUUUGUAACGCCAACAUCAUUUUUAGCUGUACAAGAUGCACUGUUUGUAAUAGAAAUGUGUAAAGCAGGUUUUAUUUGCACUUCAAGUUUUGAUAUUUUAAGAAGUAAACACAUUUUUGAAUUAUU